Molecule: long non-coding RNA, 1183 nt
Organism: Zea mays
Lineage: Eukaryota; Viridiplantae; Streptophyta; Magnoliopsida; Poales; Poaceae
Exons: 2
Source: RefSeq, a predicted model, not a curated record
AUGCUAACCAGCUCAUCUCUGCUAGCACGCACGACCUGACUCCCUCGGCUCCUCCCACAUUUCGUGCUUCAAUCUAUGACAUGCAGGGCCCGCUACACAGCCUCUCAGCCGCGCGCGCCUGUGUUGGCUUAGUCACCGCUGGGUGGGACCGCUGGGUCAGGUCCGUCAUCAAGCUUCCAGCUCCCGGCGCAGCGGUUGCAACGGAAUUUGGAGAUCCCGGGGUGGCAAAUCUCAUCCGCGUGCGCUACGGACCUAAGUACCGACCCCGCCGUCGUGACUCAACCAGGAGAGCAUCAACACCGUGAGGGAGUCAGGGGGAGCUAUGAGGUCUGCCGAUCGGGUGCCGCCGCCGUGGGAUUCCCAUCAGCGUGCGUCUUCGUUCAACCAUCUCGGGGUGGUGGAGCGGGUUAGACAGUGAGUUCGGAUCGUGUGCAAGGUCAACAGGGCAAGGAAGAUGCGAAGGAUUGCUCCUCGGAGCGAUUAGUGGCCGGGGGAUCCGGGAUUGCUCGUCGUGGUCCCUCCAACGCCGUAGAUAACCCUGUACCGUGGCCAGAAGUUUCUAUCGCGCCACUGUCGACGAGCAAGUGACCAAGGAGCCCGGAGCACAACAGGUUGAAGAAUCUGAGCAGGAGCUCACUGAAGGCAAGUUGUGCUCUUGACCACUCUUCUUUACCUAAUAAUAUUCCUGAUAAUCACUAUGACCUGCUCAGGUUAAUUUGAUGGGACAUGUUGGGGGUCUCCUUCUCUACCGAAGGUCCUCAGAAUGAAGGAAAUCAUUUUUGAUUUAUCUUAACAGAUAUGUCGAAGGACAGUAUAGCAGUGAAGCAAGGAACACAAAGAAUGCAACAGAGCUUUGACAAGAAUCAGGGCUUCGGCUUAAGAUGGUCCUGAAGGUCAUAUAAGAAAUUAAAUCAAUAGUGAAAAGACCCAUUUACCCUUAGCACCCGUAUUAGAACAAUGUAUAGAUAUCAAGGUCAUAAUUGUUCUUUUGCUUGGGCUGUGUCCCAUGCCUAUAAAUAGAGUACUGUUCAUGCUUUCAUCGAAAUCCAUUCUCACAUUAUCUCCUUCGAGUAAGCCAAAGGUACUAAUGUAAUGUAAUGCUUGUAAUAUUUCAUUAGCAUGUAAUUUAGAUUAUGACAUCAUUCUCACAUGCAAAGUGAAAUAAAUAUGUAAUAUAAUAUUA